AGCGGACAGAAGGGAGCUUGCUCCCGGAUGUUAGCGGCGGACGGGUGAGUAACACGUGGGUAACCUGCCUGUAAGACUGGGAUAACUCCGGGAAACCGGAGCUAAUACCGGAUAGUUCCUUGAACCGCAUGGUUCAAGGAUGAAAGACGGUUUCGGCUGUCACUUACAGAUGGACCCGCGGCGCAUUAGCUAGUUGGUGGGGUAAUGGCUCACCAAGGCAACGAUGCGUAGCCGACCUGAGAGGGUGAUCGGCCACACUGGGACUGAGACACGGCCCAGACUCCUACGGGAGGCAGCAGUAGGGAAUCUUCCGCAAUGGACGAAAGUCUGACGGAGCAACGCCGCGUGAGUGAUGAAGGUUUUCGGAUCGUAAAGCUCUGUUGUUAGGGAAGAACAAGUGCGAGAGUAACUGCUCGCACCUUGACGGUACCUAACCAGAAAGCCACGGCUAACUACGUGCCAGCAGCCGCGGUAAUACGUAGGUGGCAAGCGUUGUCCGGAAUUAUUGGGCGUAAAGGGCUCGCAGGCGGUUUCUUAAGUCUGAUGUGAAAGCCCCCGGCUCAACCGGGGAGGGUCAUUGGAAACUGGGAAACUUGAGUGCAGAAGAGGAGAGUGGAAUUCCACGUGUAGCGGUGAAAUGCGUAGAGAUGUGGAGGAACACCAGUGGCGAAGGCGACUCUCUGGUCUGUAACUGACGCUGAGGAGCGAAAGCGUGGGGAGCGAACAGGAUUAGAUACCCUGGUAGUCCACGCCGUAAACGAUGAGUGCUAAGUGUUAGGGGGUUUCCGCCCCUUAGUGCUGCAGCUAACGCAUUAAGCACUCCGCCUGGGGAGUACGGUCGCAAGACUGAAACUCAAAGGAAUUGACGGGGGCCCGCACAAGCGGUGGAGCAUGUGGUUUAAUUCGAAGCAACGCGAAGAACCUUACCAGGUCUUGACAUCCUCUGACAACCCUAGAGAUAGGGCUUUCCCUUCGGGGACAGAGUGACAGGUGGUGCAUGGUUGUCGUCAGCUCGUGUCGUGAGAUGUUGGGUUAAGUCCCGCAACGAGCGCAACCCUUGAUCUUAGUUGCCAGCAUUUAGUUGGGCACUCUAAGGUGACUGCCGGUGACAAACCGGAGGAAGGUGGGGAUGACGUCAAAUCAUCAUGCCCCUUAUGACCUGGGCUACACACGUGCUACAAUGGACAGAACAAAGGGCUGCGAGACCGCAAGGUUUAGCGAAUCCCAUAAAUCUGUUCUCAGUUCGGAUCGCAGUCUGCAACUCGACUGCGUGAAGCUGGAAUCGCUAGU
Molecule: ribosomal RNA, 1290 nt
Filed under: Bacillus pumilus
Lineage: Bacteria; Bacillati; Bacillota; Bacilli; Caryophanales; Bacillaceae
Description: bacterial SSU rRNA
Rfam family: Bacterial small subunit ribosomal RNA
Source: RNAcentral